GAGAAAAGUAUUUUCAGUGGCAUUUUUAAGAAGCCAGCAAAAGCCUUGGAAGGGUCUACAGCUGACGAGGAUAUUGAAGGAAGAUUAUCCAUCAGUGGUGAUGAACUUUCAGAAACGGCCAAGGUACCUUCCUAUAAUCACAAACUUUUGGGUUUGCGUUUGACUCGAUGGUUAAUCUUUUUUAUAAUAUGUAUUUAAUACUCACACGAUAUGUUGCAGGAGAAAACGGGCGGGAUCUCUGGCAUGUUCAAACGCUCCCCCAAACCAGCUCCACGUUCCCUGGUCGCCAAGGACCCGCUCCAAGACACAAAUGAACUUGGCGAGAGUGACGAUGAAAGUCUGGCAGUGAAGGAUACGAAGACUUUACUGUCCGCCAGCAAUGACAGUCUGAACGAGGUUUCCACCACAAAAGAGAGGAUGAGAGCUUUUGGUGGGAUGUUCAAGAAGGCCCCAAAAGCAGUGGAACAACUGGUAGGCACACACACACCCUUGGCAUGUCCCCCAUAAAGAAACACGUUAAAGUCUUAUCAUG
This 532-nucleotide long non-coding RNA is filed under the name Gadus morhua (Atlantic cod). Its description in RNAcentral is "lncRNA (ENSGMOG00000028704.1)". Lineage: Eukaryota; Metazoa; Chordata; Actinopteri; Gadiformes; Gadidae. The record is from RNAcentral.